AAACUAACAAGGAUUCCCCUAGUAACGGCGAGUGAAGCGGGAAGAGCUCAAAUUUGUAAUCUGGCACUUUCAGUGUCCGAGUUGUAAUCUCGAGAAGUAUUUUCCGCGCCGGACUGCAUACAAGUCUGUUGGAAUACAGCGUCAUAGUGGUGAGAACCCCGUAACUGAUGCAGAUGCCCGGUGCUUUGUGAUAUACUUUCGAAGAGUCGAGUUGUUUGGGAAUGCAGCUCAAAUUGGGUGGUAAAUUCCAUCUAAAGCUAAAUAUUGGAGCAAGACCGAUAGCGAACAAGUACCGUGAGGGAAAGAUGAAAAGCACUUUGGAAAGAGAGUUAACAGUACGUGAAAUUGUUGGAAGGGAAACGCUUGAAGUCAGACUUGCUAUUCGGAGUUCAGCCGCAAGGUGUAUUCUUCGAUUUGCAGGCCAGCAUCAGUUUUCGGGGGUGGAAAAUCGUGGUUUGAAGGUAGCAACUUCGGUUGUGUUAUAGCUUUCCACUGGAUUCAUCUUUGGGGACUGAGGAACGCAGUACGCUUUUUGCAAGGCCCUCGGGCUUUUCGUACUUAGGAUGCUGGUGGAAUGGCUUUAAACGAC
This 589-nucleotide ribosomal RNA is filed under the name Leucosporidium muscorum. RNAcentral describes it as "eukaryotic LSU rRNA". It matches the Rfam family "Eukaryotic large subunit ribosomal RNA", at positions 62 to 648 of the family's 3401-position model. The record is from RNAcentral. Lineage: Eukaryota; Fungi; Basidiomycota; Microbotryomycetes; Leucosporidiales; Leucosporidiaceae.